RNAcentral lists this ribosomal RNA (496 nucleotides) under uncultured Bacteroidales bacterium. RNAcentral's name for it is "bacterial SSU rRNA". It matches the Rfam family "Bacterial small subunit ribosomal RNA", at positions 43 to 528 of the family's 1533-position model. The record is from RNAcentral. Lineage: Bacteria; Pseudomonadati; Bacteroidota; Bacteroidia; Bacteroidales.
CAGGCUUAACACAUGCAAGUCGCAGGGUAACAUGAGGAAAGCUUGCUUUCCUUGAUGACGACUGGCGCACGGGUGAGUAACGCGUAUCCAACCUUCCCAUAACUACGGGAUAACCCGUUGAAAGACGGCCUAAUACCGUAUGAUAUCGUUUGCUGACAUCAAAUAACGAUUAAAGGUUUAGCGGUUAUGGAUGGGGAUGCGUCUGAUUAGCUUGUUGGCGGGGUAACGGCCCACCAAGGCUACGAUCAGUAGGGGUUCUGAGAGGAAGGUCCCCCACAUUGGAACUGAGACACGGUCCAAACUCCUACGGGAGGCAGCAGUGAGGAAUAUUGGUCAAUGGACGCAAGUCUGAACCAGCCAAGCAGCGUGCAGGAUGACGGCCCUAUGGGUUGUAAACUGCUUUUAUAUGGGGAUAAAGUGGGGAACGUGUUCUCUUUUGCAGGUACCAUAUGAAUAAGGACCGGCUAAUUCCGUGCCAGCCGCCGCGGUAAAAGGG